This 110-nucleotide transfer RNA is filed under the name Xylaria curta. RNAcentral's name for it is "tRNA-Thr". It matches the Rfam family "tRNA". Rfam says of the family: Transfer RNA (tRNA) molecules are approximately 80 nucleotides in length. Their secondary structure includes four short double-helical elements and three loops (D, anti-codon, and T loops). Further hydrogen bonds mediate the characteristic L-shaped molecular structure. tRNAs have two regions of fundamental functional importance: the anti-codon, which is responsible for specific mRNA codon recognition, and the 3' end, to which the tRNAs corresponding amino acid is attached (by aminoacyl-tRNA synthetases). tRNAs cope with the degeneracy of the genetic code in two manners: having more than one tRNA (with a specific anti-codon) for a particular amino acid; and 'wobble' base-pairing, i.e. permitting non-standard base-pairing at the 3rd anti-codon position. The record is from RNAcentral. Lineage: Eukaryota; Fungi; Ascomycota; Sordariomycetes; Xylariales; Xylariaceae.
GCCCGCUUGGCUAAGUGGUAUAGCGUGUCACUAGUACCGUGAGACUCGUAUAAGAAUCUCGCAAACUAGAUGCCAUGACAAGAUCAGCGGUUCGAUUCCGCUAGUGGGCA